AGGAAGGCUCUUGGGUCGUAAACCUCUUUUCUCAGGGAAGAACACAAUGACGGUACCUGAGGAAUAAGCAUCGGCUAACUCCGUGCCAGCAGCCGCGGUAAUACGGAGGAUGCAAGCGUUAUCCGGAAUGAUUGGGCGUAAAGCGUCCGCAGGUGGCGAUGUAAGUCUGCUGUUAAAGAGUCUAGCUCAACUAGAUAAGAGCAGUGGAAACUACAUAGCUAGAGUACGUUCGGGGCAGAGGGAAUUCCUGGUGUAGCGGUGAAAUGCGUAGAGAUCAGGAAGAACACCAGUGGCGAAGGCGCUCUGCUAGGCCGUAACUGACACUGAGGGACGAAAGCUAGGGGAGCGAAUGGGAUUAGAUA
This 362-nucleotide ribosomal RNA is filed under the name uncultured cyanobacterium. RNAcentral describes it as "bacterial SSU rRNA". It matches the Rfam family "Bacterial small subunit ribosomal RNA", at positions 408 to 784 of the family's 1533-position model. The record is from RNAcentral. Lineage: Bacteria; Bacillati; Cyanobacteriota.